Molecule: ribosomal RNA, 464 nt
Filed under: Vreelandella stevensii
Lineage: Bacteria; Pseudomonadati; Pseudomonadota; Gammaproteobacteria; Oceanospirillales; Halomonadaceae
Description: partial 16S ribosomal RNA
Rfam family: Bacterial small subunit ribosomal RNA
Source: RNAcentral
CCUACGGGGGGCAGCAGUGGGGAAUAUUGGACAAUGGGCGAAAGCCUGAUCCAGCCAUGCCGCGUGUGUGAAGAAGGCCUUCGGGUUGUAAAGCACUUUCAGUGGGGAAGAAAGCCUUGGGGCUAAUACCCUCGAGGAAGGACAUCACCCACAGAAGAAGCACCGGCUAACUCCGUGCCAGCAGCCGCGGUAAUACGGAGGGUGCGAGCGUUAAUCGGAAUUACUGGGCGUAAAGCGCGCGUAGGCGGUCUGAUAAGCCGGUUGUGAAAGCCCCGGGCUCAACCUGGGAACGGCAUCCGGAACUGUCAGGGUAGAGGGCAGGAGAGGAAGGUAGAAUUCCCGGUGUAGCGGUGAAAUGCGUAGAGAUCGGGAGGAAUACCAGUGGCGAAGGCGGCCUUCUGGACUGACACUGACGCUGAGGUGCGAAAGCGUGGGUAGCAAACAGGAUUAGAUACCCCGGUAGU